Molecule: long non-coding RNA, 6343 nt
Organism: Oncorhynchus tshawytscha (Chinook salmon)
Lineage: Eukaryota; Metazoa; Chordata; Actinopteri; Salmoniformes; Salmonidae
Source: Ensembl
UAUUGUCUAUAAUUCUUUAUUAAUGUUUUUAUUAUUUUUUAUUAUUAUUGAUAACAUUAAAACGCCCACAAUAACUGACAUCACUUCUCUAGUUUAUGACAUUGACACAGGAACAUGGGAACAAAUGCAGAGUCACAAUUUCAGCCCAACUACAGAGUUAACUUCCAAAAGAUAACAGGAGACCCAGAGAACACAUAGCCAAGAGUUGUCUGGUAGCAAAGGAACAACCACCUCUACAAAAGUAACAAAACUCCUUACUAUCUAUCAUUGUGGAAGUGCUUGUAAUUUUGGAAGUUUGUAAUUUCCAAAAGGAUAUUAAUAAUAUGAAUGCCUAGAAAAUGGCCAAUAGAAAUCUCUCUGUAAAAAUUGGCUAGCAGGACAACCCUUGGCUGUGCAUUUUGUCACUAACUCUAUGUACUUUUUUUUGUUGAACUUUUCUUUAAUACAACAACAAUAACACUGUUCUUUAAUACAAAUAUAUACAGAGGUUUCAACUUGUUUAAAAAAUAAUGCCCUACACACUAAUGCAUUGUCUAUAAUAAAGUUGAUUUUCAUUAGAUUUUUUUCCUUCACAGAAACUGUCCAUGCAGUUUGGUACCUGAAUCGUCGUAAUUAGGUCACAGUUUCUUUACCAUUAUAACAUAUUGAUGUUUUGUGUCUCUGUAACAGCGUGAAUGUGUCACCACGGCAACAGGCCUGCCUGCCUGUCAAAGACAUAUAUUUAAUCAGCUUUUUUAGAAUAGCCACCCAAACCCUCCCUUAUCCCCUGAAAAAGCCGUCUUCACCCCUGCCAACCUCUUGAGCAGGAUUUUGUACCAGCUUCUUCAAAUGUAAACAUACCUUUGCCUGCAAUGAGUGGAGAGAGAAAGGCACACAUGAUAAAAGCACACAGCUUUAAGCUACAGUACCUACAGAGGGAGUUUGGUUUUGGUUUGAUUAGCUCAAUGACAUGUUAUACCAUUCUACUAGACAUGCCUUUCUGCCUUUCAUGUGAUCUACUUUGAUUUUUUUAAAUGUAUUUUUUCAUUUUUGAGUUUCUGAAUUGGAUGAGAAUGUUUUGAAGUAUAGACACCAAACGAUUGGGUCCCUCCCUUGUCUUUCCCUGAAGAGAACAGAAUCAGGGGACCAUUCUCAGGGGCCUCCAGAUGUGUACAGCACCUAGCUCGGAAUAGGGAACUUUGGGCUAUCUUCCCUCGUGUUCACAGGGUACUCGAAUGUGGCCUUGCCUGUCCUCCCUUUAACUGGUGAAGCAGGCCUGGAAAGAGAAGACACGGGAUCUCUGUGUAUCCUGGCCUGUCACAGACUAACAUAUUAGGUCAUUGUUUUAAUUUUUUUUUUUUUUUUUUUAAAUAUAUGUACCAUUAUUCAGGGAGAUUCACAGGUAUGUGAUCAUUGUUUAUCAGAGCAAACAGACACACUGUGUUUUUACAACCACUACAUGAGACCACAUCAUUCACAACUAUCAACUGAAAAGGAUCGUUUUCACAUGCCAUGGUACAAUCACAUGCCAUGGUACAAUCACAUACCAUGGUACAAUCACAUACCAUGGUACAAUCACAUACCAUGGUACAAUCACAUGCCAUGGUACAAUCACAUGCCAUGGUACAAUCACAUACCAUGGUACAAUCACAUGCCAUGGUACAAUCACAUACCAUGGUACAAUCACAUACCAUGGUACAAUCACAUGCCAUGGUACAAUCACAUGCCAUGGUACAAUCACAUACCAUGGUACAAUCACAUGCCAUGGUACAAUCACAUGCCAUGGUACAAUCACAUGCCAUGGUACAAUCACAUGCCAUGGUACAAUCACAUGCCAUGGUACAAUCACAUGCCAUGGUACAAUCACAUGCCAUGGUACAAUCACAUGCCAUGGUACAAUCACAUACCAUGGUACAAUCACAUGCCAUGGUACAAUCACAUACCAUGGUACAAUCACAUACCAUGGUACAAUCACAUACCAUGGUACAAUCACAUGCCAUGGUACAAUCACAUGCCAUGGUACAAUCACAUGCCAUGGUACAAUCACAUGCCAUGGUACAAUCACAUGCCAUGGUACAAUCACAUACCAUGGUACAAUCACAUACCAUGGUACAAUCACAUACCAUGGUACAAUCACAUGCCAUGGUACAAUCACAUACCAUGGUACAAUCACAUACCAUGGUACAAUCACAUGCCAUGGUACAAUCACAUGCCAUGGUACAAUCACAUACCAUGGUACAAUCACAUACCAUCCAUGUUCCUCCAUCACAUUUCAUCAGCAGUCAUGAACGUUAACAUGACCAUGCAUUUAACCGACCAGUCAAACACCCUGGUCCGUGUCAAUGGAACACAGUCCAGCUUCAGAGCUUCUAUCCCAUCCCAAUGGACCAUUUAGAAAAUACUGAACCAUCACGAAUACGGAACACAUAAACUCCUUAUAUGAAGAAUAUGUCCAUCACUCCCUAUCAAACGGACAAGCUGUUGUUGUUAACACUCUUGAUUACAUUGAGUUCUGUACCUAAUCUUUAUAACUGUGUUGGACUGUCAUUUUGCUAUUUAAUCUCAGUAUCUCAGUGCUGUUCAACUAGUUUCAAAGGGGUCAUGCCAUAUCAAAAAAGAUACGCUAAUGAUCACAACCUUCAUACUCUCGUAGUGUUGUAAGCUCAUGCAUUAAAGGGUUGGGAGAAGAAUAAGCUACUUUCUUAACUAAAUGCAUCAAGAACUCCUUCCUGAGUAAAGGUUACACAAUACAGAAGGGGAGAAGCCAUUAAAAGGUUUUGACAUUCUGAGUAAUGGACACAUAUUUAUGCAACAAACACCUCUUCCAAACCAAGAGGGAGACCUCUAAUGCAGCAAUUCAAUCUCCACUCCCACACGUUCCUCUCUUUUCACUUGGAGGGCUUGAUCCAAUCCCUGCUAUCGCCGCAGGCUUUGGCUAAUGCCCUAGUAUCAUAUUAUUAUGCAGAUUUAGUCAGUUCUUUCCAGUAACCUGCGAGCCAAACUCUGCUUCCCCUUGUAUGGUGUGAAGAGUAUUACUGGCAUGUAUAAAAACCUGAUACCAUCAAUUGAAUCAACCCUCCGGACACUGAUGCAAAGGGCAUUCUACAUAUCAGUGUUUAGAUUUACAUUAAAUAUAACAAAACAGGUCAAAUAUGCAGUUCUUUGUUUCUUCUGCUGGGGUGAAUACCGGUACUUUGCUAGUGACCAAAACCCAGUGUGUUCUAAAAAGUCCAAACUCAAAUGCUCGCAUAUUCAAUGGUUUUUAAAAAAGUGCCCAAGAGAGUUUCAUUACACUGGCUAAAAGCUAAUUACACCAUCCAUGCCCACUAGGUUACCUCAUUAUAUUAUCACAGGGUCUCCCACUAGGUUACCUCAUCAUAUUAUCACAGGGUCUCCCACUAGGUUACCUCAUCAUAUUAUCACAGGGUCUCCCACUAGGUUACCUCAUCAUAUUAUCACAGGGUCUCCCACUAGGUUACCUCAUCAUAUUAUCACAGGGUCUCCCACUAGGUUACCUCAUCAUAUUAUCACAGGGUCUCCCACUAGGUUACCUCAUCAUAUUAUCACAGGGUCGCCCACUAGGUUACCUCAUCAUAUUAUCACAGGGUCUCCCACUAGGCUACCUCAUUAUAUUAUCACAGGGUCUCCCACUAGGUUACCUCAUCAUAUUAUCACAGGGUCUCCCACUAGGUUACCUCAUCAUAUUAUCACAGGGUCUCCCACUAGGCUACCUCAUUAUAUUAUCACAGGGUCUCCCACUAGGUUACCUCAUCAUAUUAUCACAGGGUCUCCCACUAGGUUACCUCAUCAUAUUAUCACAGGGUCUCCCACUAGGUUACCUCAUCAUAUUAUCUAUCUACUACACUUUCCCUAUUGGCUUUUUAACAUUGUGAUCCGUGUUUAAAAACUCCGCUCAGUGGGCUGACAUGAUCAUAACCUUAUCAUAACGACACAGUACUGCACAAUAUAGCCAAUGUGACUACUAUGAAGAGUCCUCUAUACAUGAACUCACUCACACGACACUUGAACAAAGAGCCAACCAUUUAGUUAAAACGACAGUCAUUUCAGAUUCAUUACAACAGACGUUAGCAUUUACAACAUGUCGACUUUGGGUCCUUGAAAAAGCACUAUAUAAGUCCCAUGUAUUGUUAUUAUUAUUAUCGUCAUCAUGUUUGGAUCAAGGAUAGAGAAGAAAAGGAAACCUAAAAAACAAUGACGGUUUUGUUGAGUAUCUUUAAAACCACAGUCAUAACCACCUCUAGUCGUCACAACUCUCAAACAACUACUGUUCCUUUGAUAAGCUAAUACAAGAGAAAAAUAGUCAACAAUUACACUGGAAAAAUAUAUGUAUGUUUCUAUUCAUAUAUAUAUAUAUAUAUAUAUAUAUAUAUAUAGCAUUUGAAAUUCUAUUUAUACAGAAUGUAUAUAUAGUGUACUUAUGGCCAUCUUGGCAAAGAAAUAAAGGCAUCUGAAACAAUCCCAACUCUCGGUCAUGUCAUGUGACGCCCUGGUCAUGUCAUGUGACCAGACAUCGUACAUUGCAGAAUGCAAAGAAUCAGGAAAGAAACUGAGUGGUAGUGGCACUUUGUGCAUCAACAAAUGUCAUCUAGAAUAAGGCUACAAGGGCGUAGAAGUGGAUGUGAUAUAAAUUGUCAAAGAGGUCAUCCUCCUUGAUGGUUUAGUUUUUUCUUGAAGAUGUCCUUUACAUGUCUUAGACCCAGACAUCCAGUCUAGACGGAACAUUCCGGAACAGAGCUCUUUGGAGCUUCUGCUCAACACAUUGAGAGAAAAUAAUGACAAGAGAAAAAUAAUUUAUCAAAAGGCAUUAAAACAUCUAUAGUACAUUAAAGAUGUUUUGGGUAAGCCAGUGUUGGCCGCUACAAAGCGCUUGGAGAGGUAACAUUUGAUCCUUAUAUCUGUCUAUUUUCUUAGUCUUAUUUUUCCUGACAAAAAGCAAAUAAAUCAUCGAUGACACAAAGCCACUCUGACACCACCAGAACAGUGAUUGCUUUCGUUAGUUAUUUUGCUUUUACAACUGCUGAUAUAUCUAGGAAAGCCUAAGUAAUCAAACAAUAUUCUAUUUAUUCUUUCUGAGCAUGGUUUUUAAAAUUGUAUUUAAAUAUUAGAAAUGGAUUUUAACACUACUGAUACUCAGCCAUCACAACACACACAUAAAUAACAAAAUAAAUAUACAAUCAUAUCAAUAUUUAAUAUGAAAUAAAUAAUAAAUACAUACUUUCUUUUUAAGCCGUGGGUAUCUGAAGACACAGAUAAAAGAAAUAGCAUAAAUGAAGGAGAAAACCUUUAUAAAAUUAUCAAAACAUUGUCAUUUAUAAAAUAUUUGCAAUUAAAAAUGUUUACAAAUUAUUUAAAAUAAAAUAAGAUAUAUAAAAUAAUCAAGUGUGGACAGUUGUCUAAAUAGCUUUUUAAAUAUUGAUGUAGAAGACUUCCUAUUUUAAAUCUUUAUGGCCAUGAUCGACCAGCAGGGUUGCAUUUUUUGAUUUACUAAAUAUACAUUUAAUUGUUUUUUUAAAUAAAUAGACCAAAUCAAAUAAAUACACAUAAAAUGACAAUACAUUACAAUUUGCGUAUUCACAAAUGUAAAUAAUUUCUAUAACAAUAAAUAUUGUACCACAAACUAACAGGAAUAGACAAGUGUGCACUCCAUUACCAUCACCGUUCAGUUCAAAGAAAGAAGGCUGCAUCUGUUGCUCUCAGAUCUUCCAGCAGAUAUAUAGAGAAGGUUGUUGAUUUUCAGAAGAGGAAAAAGAAACCAUUGAUUUGUGACUUAAUCUUCGCUUGAAGAGCUGCUUUCCUCUGAAUUGAGACAAGACAUGGAGUCAUGUUGACAUCUUGCUGCAGUAACAACACUAAGCACAUGAACCAUUGCUCAAGAAGACCCCAGAGUUCAGGGAUUCUCCAUUCACUUCUACACAAUAGGAGUGCUGUAGUGCUCAGAAUCACACACUACCCACUCAUACACAAGCCCUCUCACCUUAUCCUGACCCAGAACAACAUUGCUGAAGCCUUCGUGUCUUCUCUGGGACACAAUGUGUACAGUUUUCCAGUGUGUUUUCUUCACCUCAUGUUGGCAGGUCAUACCCUCUGUCUUAUCUGGCACCAUACCACUACUUCCAUCCUUCGUUCUUUCUUUCUUUCUUCUCCAAAUUGUUGCUGAACUAAACCUUGAAUUACAGUAUGAAUUGGGACAGUCAAACAGAUACCUCCAAAACAGAGAUACCUCCAAAACAGAGAUACCUCCAAAACAGAGAUACCUCCAAAACAGAGAUGCCUCCAAAACAGAGAUACCUCCAAAACAGAGAUGCCUCCAAAACAGAGAUACCUCCAAAACAGAGAUGCCUCC